CGCAGCCCUCAACGCUCUUCUGCCUCGGCCUUCAUCCAGUACCUUGCCCGGCGCCCGUCCAGGCUCCUGCCGCGCCGUCCCCCGCACCUCAGCCCCCGGGCCCGUCGCAGCCAUGAACUAACGGCUCCGCACGUAGCAAGCAAGCAACUCGAUCAGCUCGCACCGCCCACCGCCACCGAGAAGACGUCGCGAGCCCGCUAGAGCGCCUCUUCUAGAGGGACGCCGCCGCCGUAACCAGCGAGAGGGCGCGAGGGGCGGAGCCAGGCGUGCCUAGAGCGGCCGCCGGCGCGGCCGCCAUCUUAGGAAGGGCGGGAGGGCCGGGGAGGGCCGGGGAGGGCCGGGGAGGCCUACGGGCCUCGGGAGGAGGCCGAGCCCUGACCGGUGGGCCUUGCGGGCAGAGGCCGGAGAGAUGAGACGGGCCUGGGAUGGGCAAGGCAUGAUGUCAACAGGAGAGUUGGGUCAGACGCAGCGCUGGGAGAAGAUUGUUUAUGGAGGAGAAAUAAAUGGAGGAGAAGGAUUUAAGAUUAAGAAGAAGAAGGAGUUGUGCUGAAGAAGAUAUGGAGGUGUGAAGACAACAGGGACAUUUGUGGCAGUGGCAGGUAUUCAGGCACAGAAGACAAGCCCUCGAGGGGCAGGAGAGGUCUGUGGAAUCAGAGAGGAUAGACUAGAGUGGGGAUGUCAAGCAGAACUCUGGAACCUCCCCUGUGAAACUGGGAGACUGAAUGGCAGCGAGGCCUAGCUGGAUGGCAGGAGCCCCCAGAGGGGAGUGGUAGCCAUGACCCUGCCCUUCCUCAAACAUGGCACCAGACCUAGAUGUUGUUGGCUACUCAAGAAAAAAUUCUUCCUGAAGAAUAAUAUGCAUUUCCCAGGUCACUAUUUCAUAAGGGGCCCCAGCAAUGCUCACUUUGAUGCUGUAUGGAUUCACUCUUCAGACUUCACCACCUCUUCAGCAACCUCUUUAUCUAUGAGCAAGUACCUCACCCGUCUUCUGGCUCAUUAUAUGUUGUCUUCCCCUAAUAGAAUAUUAGCUCCUUGAGGGCAGCAACUAUUUGUUUGUAUUGGUGCUGCCAGAGUUUAGGACAGUACCCCACAUAUACUAAGUGCUUGAUAUGUAUCUAUGUAUCUAUCACCAUUCUGUUAUAACGUAUAAUGCUAUUAUAUUAUCCCCACGAUGCUUCUAUAUAUGGUAGUCCAGCAAGUCCAUGCCCAUGAUAACUGAAUAAAUGAAAUGUACUCUUCA
This 1240-nucleotide long non-coding RNA is filed under the name Phascolarctos cinereus (koala). Its description in RNAcentral is "lncRNA (ENSPCIG00000001501.2)". Lineage: Eukaryota; Metazoa; Chordata; Mammalia; Diprotodontia; Phascolarctidae. The record is from RNAcentral.